RNAcentral lists this ribosomal RNA (1507 nucleotides) under uncultured Escherichia sp. Its description in RNAcentral is "bacterial SSU rRNA". It matches the Rfam family "Bacterial small subunit ribosomal RNA". Lineage: Bacteria; Pseudomonadati; Pseudomonadota; Gammaproteobacteria; Enterobacterales; Enterobacteriaceae. The record is from RNAcentral.
AGAGUUUGAUCAUGGCUCAGAUUGAACGCUGGCGGCAGGCCUAACACAUGCAAGUCGAACGGUAACAGGAAGCAGCUUGCUGCUUUGCUGACGAGUGGCGGACGGGUGAGUAAUGUCUGGGAAACUGCCUGAUGGAGGGGGAUAACUACUGGAAACGGUAGCUAAUACCGCAUAACGUCGCAAGACCAAAGAGGGGGACCUUCGGGCCUCUUGCCAUCGGAUGUGCCCAGAUGGGAUUAGCUAGUAGGUGGGGUAAAGGCUCACCUAGGCGACGAUCCCUAGCUGGUCUGAGAGGAUGACCAGCCACACUGGAACUGAGACACGGUCCAGACUCCUACGGGAGGCAGCAGUGGGGAAUAUUGCACAAUGGGCGCAAGCCUGAUGCAGCCAUGCCGCGUGUAUGAAGAAGGCCUUCGGGUUGUAAAGUACUUUCAGCGGGGAGGAAGGGAGUAAAGUUAAUACCUUUGCUCAUUGACGUUACCCGCAGAAGAAGCACCGGCUAACUCCGUGCCAGCAGCCGCGGUAAUACGGAGGGUGCAAGCGUUAAUCGGAAUUACUGGGCGUAAAGCGCACGCAGGCGGUUUGUUAAGUCAGAUGUGAAAUCCCCGGGCUCAACCUGGGAACUGCAUCUGAUACUGGCAAGCUUGAGUCUCGUAGAGGGGGGUAGAAUUCCAGGUGUAGCGGUGAAAUGCGUAGAGAUCUGGAGGAAUACCGGUGGCGAAGGCGGCCCCCUGGACGAAGACUGACGCUCAGGUGCGAAAGCGUGGGGAGCAAACAGGAUUAGAUACCCUGGUAGUCCACGCCGUAAACGAUGUCGACUUGGAGGUUGUGCCCUUGAGGCGUGGCUUCCGGAGCUAACGCGUUAAGUCGACCGCCUGGGGAGUACGGCCGCAAGGUUAAAACUCAAAUGAAUUGACGGGGGCCCGCACAAGCGGUGGAGCAUGUGGUUUAAUUCGAUGCAACGCGAAGAACCUUACCUGGUCUUGACAUCCACGGAAGUUUUCAGAGAUGAGAAUGUGCCUUCGGGAACCGUGAGACAGGUGCUGCAUGGCUGUCGUCAGCUCGUGUUGUGAAAUGUUGGGUUAAGUCCCGCAACGAGCGCAACCCUUAUCCUUUGUUGCCAGCGGUCCGGCCGGGAACUCAAAGGAGACUGCCAGUGAUAAACUGGAGGAAGGUGGGGAUGACGUCAAGUCAUCAUGGCCCUUACGACCAGGGCUACACACGUGCUACAAUGGCGCAUACAAAGAGAAGCGACCUCGCGAGAGCAAGCGGACCUCAUAAAGUGCGUCGUAGUCCGGAUUGGAGUCUGCAACUCGACUCCAUGAAGUCGGAAUCGCUAGUAAUCGUGGAUCAGAAUGCCACGGUGAAAAUGCUUGACUCUGUAGCGGGAAAGCGUAUUAUGCACACCCCGCGCCGCUGAGAAAAAGCGAAGCGGCACUGCUCUUUAACAAUUUAUCAGACAAUCUGUGUGGGCACUCGAAGAUACGGAUUCUUAACGUCGCAAGAC